GUUAAGCGACUAAGCGUACACGGUGGAUGCCCUGGCAGUCAGAGGCGAUGAAGGACGUGCUAAUCUGCGAUAAGCGUCGGUAAGGUGAUAUGAACCGUUAUAACCGGCGAUUUCCGAAUGGGGAAACCCAGUGUGUUUCGACACACUAUCAUUAACUGAAUCCAUAGGUUAAUGAGGCGAACCGGGGGAACUGAAACAUCUAAGUACCCCGAGGAAAAGAAAUCAACCGAGAUUCCCCCAGUAGCGGCGAGCGAACGGGGAGCAGCCCAGAGCCUGAAUCAGUGUGUGUGUUAGUGGAAGCGUCUGGAAAGGCGCGCGAUACAGGGUGACAGCCCCGUACACAAAAAUGCACAUGCUGUGAGCUCGAUGAGUAGGGCGGGACACGUGGUAUCCUGUCUGAAUAUGGGGGGACCAUCCUCCAAGGCUAA
This 428-nucleotide ribosomal RNA is filed under the name Escherichia coli. RNAcentral's name for it is "partial 23S ribosomal RNA". It matches the Rfam family "Bacterial large subunit ribosomal RNA", at positions 1 to 469 of the family's 2925-position model. Lineage: Bacteria; Pseudomonadati; Pseudomonadota; Gammaproteobacteria; Enterobacterales; Enterobacteriaceae. The record is from RNAcentral.